UGCUUCAUCAAGAAGAUUACACAAUUACAGGUUUCAAUGCUGCCUGGAAGUCCUUUGAAAAAUGGCUCAGAGAAAAGCCCUGUAUUAAGGGCUUCUAUUAUAAAGGAGCAUUUUGACUAACAAGUCUACAUCUUGAGACCUGAGCUGUGGUCAGUGAGUCCUGUUGACCAGCUGAGGUCUGUGCCCUCCAUCAAGUUCUCCAUCACCCGGUGGUGGGACUGCUGUGGCUCAUGUCCUGUAGCAGUUCCAUUGCCACCAGAAGGUUGAAGGUUCCUGUGACAGCCACACAUCUCCUUGGAGCAUGUGGGAUCUUAGUCCCUCGACCAGGGAUCGAUCCCAUGCCCCCUGCAGUGGAAGUGCAGAGUCUUUACCACUGGACUGCUAGGGAAGUCCCCCACUUAAGUUUUUAAGUGACUGAACUGACAGAUCCACCAAACCAAGGCCUGCAUGUCAGGAA
This is a long non-coding RNA of Eubalaena glacialis (North Atlantic right whale), 457 nucleotides long. RefSeq lists it as uncharacterized. The record is from RefSeq and is a predicted model, not a curated record. The transcript has 3 exons. NCBI's taxonomy places the organism in Eukaryota, Metazoa, Chordata, Mammalia, Artiodactyla, Balaenidae.